CGGGACACGUGGUAUCCUGUCUGAAUAUGGGGGGACCAUCCUCCAAGGCUAAAUACUCCUGACUGACCGAUAGUGAACCAGUACCGUGAGGGAAAGGCGAAAAGAACCCCGGCGAGGGGAGUGAAAAAGAACCUGAAACCGUGUACGUACAAGCAGUGGGAGCACGCUUAGGCGUGUGACUGCGUACCUUUUGUAUAAUGGGUCAGCGACUUAUAUUCUGUAGCAAGGUUAACCGAAUAGGGGAGCCGAAGGGAAACCGAGUCUUAACUGGGCGUUAAGUUGCAGGGUAUAGACCCGAAACCCGGUGAUCUAGCCAUGGGCAGGUUGAAGGUUGGGUAACACUAACUGGAGGACCGAACCGACUAAUGUUGAAAAAUUAGCGGAUGACUUGUGGCUGGGGGUGAAAGGCCAAUCAAACCGGGAGAUAGCUGGUUCUCCCCGAAAGCUAUUUAGGUAGCGCCUCGUGAAUUCAUCUCCGGGGGUAGAGCACUGUUUCGGCAAGGGGGUCAUCCCGACUUACCAACCCGAUGCAAACUGCGAAUACCGGAGAAUGUUAUCACGGGAGACACACGGCGGGUGCUAACGUCCGUCGUGAAGAGGGAAACAACCCAGACCGCCAGCUAAGGUCCCAAAGUCAUGGUUAAGUGGGAAACGAUGUGGGAAGGCCCAGACAGCCAGGAUGUUGGCUUAGAAGCAGCCAUCAUUUAAAGAAAGCGUAAUAGCUCACUGGUCGAGUCGGCCUGCGCGGAAGAUGUAACGGGGCUAAACCAUGCACCGAAGCUGCGGCAGCGACGCUGAUGCGUUGUUGGGUAGGGGAGCGUUCUGUAAGCCUGCGAAGGUGUGCUGUGAGGCAUGCUGGAGGUAUCAGAAGUGCGAAUGCUGACAUAAGUAACGAUAAAGCGGGUGAAAAGCCCGCUCGCCGGAAGACCAAGGGUUCCUGUCCAACGUUAAUCGGGGCAGGGUGAGUCGACCCCUAAGGCGAGGCCGAAAGGCGUAGUCGAUGGGAAACAGGUUAAUAUUCCUGUACUUGGUGUUACUGCGAAGGGGGGACGGAGAAGGCUAUGUUGGCCGGGCGACGGUUGUCCCGGUUUAAGCGUGUAGGCUGGUUUUCCAGGCAAAUCCGGAAAACUAAGGCUGAGGCGUGAUGACGAGGCACUACGGUGCUGAAGCAACAAAUGCCCUGCUUCCAGGAAAAGCCUCUAAGCAUCAGGUAACAUCAAAUCGUACCCCAAACCGACACAGGUGGUCAGGUAGAGAAUACCAAGGCGCUUGAGAGAACUCGGGUGAAGGAACUAGGCAAAAUGGUGCCGUAACUUCGGGAGAAGGCACGCUGAUAUGUAGGUGAAGUCCCUCGCGGAUGGAGCUGAAAUCAGUCGAAGAUACCAGCUGGCUGCAACUGUUUAUUAAAAACACAGCACUGUGCAAACACGAAAGUGGACGUAUACGGUGUGACGCCUGCCCGGUGCCGGAAGGUUAAUUGAUGGGGUCAGCGCAAGCGAAGCUCUUGAUCGAAGCCCCGGUAAACGGCGGCCGUAACUAUAACGGUCCUAAGGUAGCGAAAUUCCUUGUCGGGUAAGUUCCGACCUGCACGAAUGGCGUAAUGAUGGCCAGGCUGUCUCCACCCGAGACUCAGUGAAAUUGAACUCGCUGUGAAGAUGCAGUGUACCCGCGGCAAGACGGAAAGACCCCGUGAACCUUUACUAUAGCUUGACACUGAACAUUGAGC
RNAcentral lists this ribosomal RNA (1726 nucleotides) under Escherichia coli. RNAcentral's name for it is "partial 23S ribosomal RNA". It matches the Rfam family "Bacterial large subunit ribosomal RNA", at positions 418 to 2129 of the family's 2925-position model. The record is from RNAcentral. Lineage: Bacteria; Pseudomonadati; Pseudomonadota; Gammaproteobacteria; Enterobacterales; Enterobacteriaceae.